This 446-nucleotide ribosomal RNA is filed under the name uncultured bacterium. RNAcentral's name for it is "bacterial SSU rRNA". It matches the Rfam family "Bacterial small subunit ribosomal RNA", at positions 28 to 491 of the family's 1533-position model. The record is from RNAcentral.
GACGAACGCUGGCGGCGUGCUUAACACAUGCAAGUCGAACGGUGAACCGGGCUUCGGCCCGGGGAUCAGUGGCGAACGGGUGCGUAACACGUGGGCAACCUGCCCCAGACUCUGGGAUAACUCCGGGAAACCGGGCUAAUACCGGAUACUCCGAUCGGACGACAUCGUCUGACCGGGAAAGCUCCGACGGUCUGGGAUGGGCCCGCGGCCUAUCAGCUUGUUGGCGAGGUAACGGCUCACCAAGGCGACGACGGGUAGCUGGUCUGAGAGGACGACCAGCCACGCUGGAACUGAGAUACGGUCCAGACUCCUACGGGAGGCAGCAGUGGGGAAUCUUGCACAAUGGGCGAAAGCCUGAUGCAGCGACGCCGCGUGGGGAUGAAUGCCUUCGGUGUAAACCCUUUCGGCAGGGAAGAAGCGCAAGUGACGGUACCUGCAGAAGAAGU